This 494-nucleotide ribosomal RNA is filed under the name uncultured bacterium. RNAcentral describes it as "partial 16S ribosomal RNA". It matches the Rfam family "Bacterial small subunit ribosomal RNA", at positions 28 to 507 of the family's 1533-position model. The record is from RNAcentral.
GACGAACGCUGGCGGCGCGCUUAACACAUGCAAGUCGAACGGAAAGGCCUGCUUUCCCUUGUGGAUUGCGGGUACUCGAGUGGCGAACGGGUGAGUAACACGUGAGUGAUCUGCCCCCAACUUUGGUAUAAGCCUGGGAAACUGGGUCUAAUUCCCGAUAGGACUGCAGGGUGGUGCCUGUGGUGGAAAACGAUUUUCUAGUGGUUGGGGAUGAGCUCGCGGCCUAUCAGCUUGUUGGUGGGGUAAUGGCCUACCAAGGCGGCGACGGGUAGCCGGCCUGAGAGGGUGGACGGCCACAUUGGGACUGAGAUACGGCCCAGACUCCUACGGGAGGCAGCAGUGGGGAAGAUUACACAAUGGGCGGAAGCCUGAUGCAGCGACGCCGCGUGGGGGAUGACGGCCUUCGGGUUGUAAACUCCUUUCGACCGCGAGGAAGCCACCUGGUUGGAAGGGUGGUGACGGUAGUGGUAGAAGAAGCACCGGCUAACUACGUG